AAAUAAUGGUAAAAAUAUAAUCGACCCAUUACGCACUUAUCGGAAAAUAAUUUAAUUCUUUAACGUUAUAUUAAUUAAUUACAUUCAAUAAUAUAAAUUUCGUACAAAUAAACAUGGGAAAAUCGUUUCUAUUUUUGGUUGGCAGUCAUUACGCUCACCGCCGUUACGUCAUGGAUCCGGUGACGUCAUUAGAGCAGAACUUCAACGAAAAUAAAUUGAUUUAUCGUUUUGGAUUUCGAUCGGUGCUGAAUACAACGGGAACCAUCCACUUUAAGUUCAUUUGUUGGAAAAAAAAAUACUUCCAAUUGGUUUCAAUUCUUUUAGUUUGUACAACUUUGCGACGAUGAAAUGAUGACCAACAUUGUUUGGCCAGCCAGCUUGUUGAAAUAUCGGGUCAUAUAUUUUUCUAAGUGACUCUCCGAAAAUGAGAUUGUAGCGAUAGAGGCCUGGACACUGUUGGAGUGAUCUAUAGAAUGAUCUGGCAAAUAACAUCCCUUCACCACUAAUAGCUAAUACUACCAUCUCUCAUUAGAACGGGCGACAUAUUAGGAACAAAUGAUGAAUUUUUUAUAAGAAAUGAAUAGUUGAUACGUUUAAGAAACAACUAACAAUGCUAGAUCCAUUCUCCUGAUUCUCGGUAUUACUUUAUAAAAGAAAGACACUUAAAAUUUUUCUUCAGAUAAUAGACAGUUCAAAUAUCACUAAUUAGUUCAUACGUACGGAUUUACAUACAAGAAAAGCGAUUAUGCAUUAUUAAUAAG
This 761-nucleotide long non-coding RNA is filed under the name Androctonus crassicauda. Lineage: Eukaryota; Metazoa; Arthropoda; Arachnida; Scorpiones; Buthidae. The record is from RNAcentral.